GACGAACGCUGGCGGCGUGCUUAACACAUGCAAGUCGAACGGAAAGGCCCUGCUUUUGUGGGGUGCUCGAGUGGCGAACGGGUGAUUAACACGUGAGUAACCUGCCCUUGACUUUGGGAUAACUUCAGGAAACUGGGGCUAAUACCGGAUAGUAGCUCCUGCUGCAUGGUGGGGGUUGGAAAGUUUCGGCGGUUGGGGCUGGACUCGCGGCUUAUCAGCUUGUUGGUGGGGUAGUGGCUUACCAAGGCUUUGACGGGUAGCCGGCCUGAGAGGGUGACAGGCCACAUUGGGACUGAGAUACGGCCCAGACUCCUACGGGAGGCAGCAGUGGGGAAUAUUGCAAAAUGGGCGGAAGCCUGAUGCAGCAACGCCGCGUGCGGGAUGACGGCCUUCGGGUUGUAAACCGCUUUCGCCUGUGACGAAGCGUGAGUGACGGUAAUGGGUAAAGAAGCACCGGCUAACUACGUG
Molecule: ribosomal RNA, 468 nt
Filed under: uncultured bacterium
Lineage: Bacteria
Description: partial 16S ribosomal RNA
Rfam family: Bacterial small subunit ribosomal RNA
Source: RNAcentral